UACGUAGGGGGCUAGCGUUAUCCGGAUUUACUGGGCGUAAAGGGUGCGUAGGUGGUUUCUUAAGUCAGAGGUGAAAGGCUACGGAUCAACCGUAGUAAGCCUUUGAAACUGGGAAACUUGAGUGCAGGAGAGGAGAGUGGAAUUCCUAGUGUAGCGGUGAAAUGCGUAGAUAUUAGGAGGAACACCAGUUGCGAAGGCGGCUCUCUGGACUGUAACUGACACUGAGGCACGAAAGCGUGGGGAGCAAACAGGAUUAGAUACCCUGGUAGUCCCUGAG
This 277-nucleotide ribosomal RNA is filed under the name uncultured prokaryote. Its description in RNAcentral is "partial 16S ribosomal RNA". It matches the Rfam family "Bacterial small subunit ribosomal RNA", at positions 524 to 801 of the family's 1533-position model. The record is from RNAcentral.